This 498-nucleotide ribosomal RNA is filed under the name uncultured bacterium. RNAcentral describes it as "partial 16S ribosomal RNA". It matches the Rfam family "Bacterial small subunit ribosomal RNA", at positions 28 to 507 of the family's 1533-position model. The record is from RNAcentral.
GACGAACGCUGGCGGCGUGCCUAAUACAUGCAAGUCGAGCGGACGGAUGGGAGCUUGCUCCCAGACCGUCAGCGGCGGACGGGUGAGUAACACGUGGGCUACCUGCCUGUAAGACUGGGAUAACUCCGGGAAACCGGGGCUAAUACCGGAUAACUCUUUCCCUCACAUGAGGGAAAGCUGAAAGAUGGCAUCUCGCUAUCACUUACAGAUGGGCCCGCGGCGCAUUAGCUAGUUGGUGAGGUAACGGCUCACCAAGGCGACGAUGCGUAGCCGACCUGAGAGGGUGAUCGGCCACACUGGGACUGAGACACGGCCCAGACUCCUACGGGAGGCAGCAGUAGGGAAUCUUCCGCAAAGGACGAAAGUCUGACGGAGCAACGCCGCGUGAGUGAUGAAGGUUUUCGGAUCGUAAAACUCUGUUGUCAGGGAAGAACAAGUACCGGAGUAACUGCCGGUACCUUGACGGUACCUGACCAGAAAGCCACGGCUAACUACGUG